RNAcentral lists this non-coding RNA (44 nucleotides) under Schistosoma mansoni. The record is from RNAcentral. Lineage: Eukaryota; Metazoa; Platyhelminthes; Trematoda; Strigeidida; Schistosomatidae.
ACCAGCUGACGAGUCUCAAAUAGGACAAAAUGCACAUCCUGGAU